Non-coding RNA from Myotis lucifugus (little brown bat), 77 nucleotides. NCBI's taxonomy places the organism in Eukaryota, Metazoa, Chordata, Mammalia, Chiroptera, Vespertilionidae. The record is from Rfam.
AAGACACCCUUAUGAGGCAAGACUUGCUUCAGUGGGGCUUUGGUGCUCACUGAGUCUGCCCCCUGAGUGUGUUCAUU